Molecule: small RNA, 321 nt
Filed under: Histoplasma ohiense
Lineage: Eukaryota; Fungi; Ascomycota; Eurotiomycetes; Onygenales; Ajellomycetaceae
Description: hypothetical lncRNA
Source: RNAcentral
UUGGCUUCGGGUUGCAUCGAAAAUGGGUAAUUUCAACGACACCUUCGGAAAGAGUCCUUCCUAUGAUUUUGGUUGCAUAAAACAUGUAAGACGGCAUAGUUUUAGUAUAUUGAGAAGUUUUGAACCUUUCAAUUGUUGGCAAUACUCAAUAAAAUAUAGCCGUGGAGAUUCAAAAUUUAUAUGAGCUACUGUUGUGGGAGCAAAUCUCGCUCAGUAGUCAGGAAGUCACUGACUCACUGUCCCAACCAAAGCCUUGAUUUGAGCCUUGAAAGUUGGUACUUAUUAGAAAAAAAGGAGAGGGGUUUAGGAACAAGAUGAAUA